GUACAUCUCACACCUGUCUCACUACUACCACAGCAUGUUCAGCCUGUACACCUGUCUCAUUCCUCCACCACGCCCGAACACACCCCCAGCUCCUCCUCAACUCUCGGUCAUACCUCCAGAUGGGUAUGUCCGGCCUGGUCAGGUGGUGGAGUUCCGUUGUCAGGCCCCGCCCACCCUUGCUCCUGUAUCAUUUGUCCUCCAGAAACAACAAAACAUGAUCCACUCCCAGAAUCCUCAGUUCAAGGUGGGGCCAGUGGGCGUGGCUGAUGGGGGCAUGUACAGCUGCUUCUACAUAUUUAACCUAUCAGAGGGAGUUCAAAAGUCUGUCCCCAGCGCACCUGUCUAUGUUAAUGUAGGAGUUAAGCUCCCAGCUCCGCAGUUAUCUCAGCGGGCAGAGGGGGCGCUAGUGUGCAUCGGGUCACCCUCCUACCCUGGUGCUUAUUUCUCCCUGUUCCAACAGGGUUCCUCAUCACCGAUAGCAACACAACACGCCCCCAAGAUUGAACACACCGUGCAAUUCACUGCAUCAGGGCAGCACUCGGAAGGAAGCAUGUACCAAUGUCAGUACAGUGUGCUGCUGGGUAAAAACUGGAUACAUUCUGAACUCAGCUCCCCCAUCGUACUGCAAUGUGUUACAGGAUCUCCUUCCUGCAGCUCAUCUUCUACAGAUAACCAUCCUCCACAUACAGGUUCAAUGGACCUGCCGUUGGUGUGUGGGUCCGUCUCAGCUGCACUGCUCUUCCUGAUGGUGCUCAUAAUCCUGGCCUUUGGGAUUCGCAAAUAUGCUAAAACAGCAGCCAAUAAAAGGAGACAAAGGGAACAGGAGCAGUUCUGGCAGCAGGUCCACUUCAGAGACCACAUCGUCGAUCUCACACUACAGAGAGUCAGCACUGGCUCCAAGGAGGAGGGAUUAACUUCAGUGUUGGAGCCCAUCUACGAAUCUCCAGUCAGCACAUUCACCCGCCCACCUGGCUACUGACACACUCGUGCGCUCUCUCUCUCUCUCUCUCUCUCUCUCUCUCUCUCUCGGCGACAGUGCAUAGUGAGAGCGCUACACACACAGACAGGUACAGCACACCUAAAUGGGCGGAGCAUGCCGAUGACAUGGCUGGGUUUUGGUUUGCAUGUAGUUACUUCAGUUUCUUUCUGACACAAAGGCAAACCGGGUCACACACACAAACGCUGAUCUCUCAGCAGUUUCUCUUCCUUUUUCUUUUUUAUUCGUCAUCAUCCUUUCAUUUAAUUACAUUCUUCACUCUUGUCCUUCUACUUUAUCUCAUUUACUCAUGGUUCUCUCUUUCUCCUCCUUCAUCUCAUUAUUUUUAUUUUAUUCCAUUUCUGUAUUCUCUCUCUCUCUCUCAGUAGCAUUUGCACGAUUUGGAUUUUGCAUUAAAGGCUCUUAUGUUUAUAAAAUGUCCUUUGAAAAUAAAUUAAUGCUUUAUUAAUGAUAUUUUAUGUAUGAAUACACAGAGAGAGAGAGAUUGCAGAAGGAAGUACAGACAUACUGUUGCUGGAGAGUUGAGCAAUAAAAGCACAUUAUAUCCUGUUAACUACAUCAUUAUCAUCAGUGGAUCAGUGCAAGCAAUGCUGCUUGUGUAACUAUGUACACUUUUAUUGAUCGCUAAAUGUUUGAGGUGUUAUGAACAUUUAUAACUCUGUAGAUGUUCAGUACAGACUGUACUCCAACAGGCUCAGUGAGAAGUGCAAAAUAACUCACUGUUCAUCCCAUUUAUAGCUGAAUGCAAAUUACACUUCUGUCUGGCUGUGUCUUUGUCUUUCCAAUACAGCUUUUUGACUUCCUCUAACCAGAGUGUGUAUUAGACACUUUAUUAGGUCUUCACUGCUCUCCUUAGUUUUUCAUCAUCAUUUUUAAAAAAAAAUUUUUAUUAUUAUUAUUUUUUUAUUUAUUUUUUUUAUCACAUUUCUGGUUAAAGCAUGUGUAAGUCAAUAAUAAAGAAAUGGUGUGGUCCAUUAUAGGGGGGAUUGGGUAGCAAAAUUAUAUUUUGGUAUUGGCAAUGAAAGUUAUUUUGUGUGUGUGUUUUAAGAACAUAUCCAACCUUUGUCUUUAAUCUCCUAUUAGUGAUCGGUGGAGUACAGGGAGGGUUAAUGUGUUAAUUCAGGAGUUCAGACCCCCUCAAGAACACCCUUUAGUCAAAAGUUCAUGGGCUGUUCCACAUCUUUAUCCGCUCAGGUGACAGUAUUUAAUGAGAAGAAAGGUGUAGAGAUGCUCCUGAGGCUAAUCUUAAUCACAUUAAUGAGCAUUAACAUUGAACAUUUUAGCCAAGUGUCUUCACAACAUCAGGAUUUUUAGUUCAUCUGGUUUAGCUUAAUUAGUCAGUUGUUGUUAAUCAGGGUUAGGUAAUCUGGUUAAAUUGAUCCUCAUUAUUUGAACUUUGGUUUUAGGUGAUCCGGUUUAGUAUUAGUUUGUAUUAUAAUAACCACUGCAAUUUAAUCUGUUCUUUAAGUAGUUAAAUUACCUACAUUGUGUAAAAACUGGUGUUAAUACUGAACACUAAAUUGAUUUUUUUAAAACCAUUUUUGUCCUAAA
Ictalurus punctatus (channel catfish) is the source of this 2548-nucleotide long non-coding RNA. The record is from Ensembl. NCBI's taxonomy places the organism in Eukaryota, Metazoa, Chordata, Actinopteri, Siluriformes, Ictaluridae.